UACGGACCGGACAAACGUUAUUCGGAAUCACUGGGCUUAAAGGGUACGUAGGCGGCUCAGAAAGUUGGAUGUGAAAUCCCUCGGCUCAACCGAGGAAUUGCGUUCAAAACUACUGAGCUUGAGGAAGGUAGGGGUGAGCGGAACUGAUGGUGGAGCGGUGAAAUGCGUUGAUAUCAUCAGGAACACCAGUGGCGAAGGCGGCUCACUGGGCCUUUUCUGACGCUGAGGUACGAAAGCUAGGGUAGCGAACGGG
This 253-nucleotide ribosomal RNA is filed under the name uncultured bacterium. RNAcentral describes it as "partial 16S ribosomal RNA". It matches the Rfam family "Bacterial small subunit ribosomal RNA", at positions 524 to 776 of the family's 1533-position model. The record is from RNAcentral.